This 497-nucleotide ribosomal RNA is filed under the name uncultured bacterium. RNAcentral's name for it is "partial 16S ribosomal RNA". It matches the Rfam family "Bacterial small subunit ribosomal RNA", at positions 28 to 507 of the family's 1533-position model. The record is from RNAcentral.
GAUGAACGCUGGCGGCGUGCCUAAUACAUGCAAGUCGAGCGAACAGACGAGGAGCUUGCUCCUCUGACGUUAGCGGCGGACGGGUGAGUAACACGUGGAUAACCUACCUAUAAGACUGGGAUAACUUCGGGAAACCGGAGCUAAUACCGGAUAAUAUAUUGAACCGCAUGGUUCAAUAGUGAAAGACGGUUUUGCUGUCACUUAUAGAUGGAUCCGCGCCGCAUUAGCUAGUUGGUAAGGUAACGGCUUACCAAGGCAACGAUGCGUAGCCGACCUGAGAGGGUGAUCGGCCACACUGGAACUGAGACACGGUCCAGACUCCUACGGGAGGCAGCAGUAGGGAAUCUUCCGCAAUGGGCGAAAGCCUGACGGAGCAACGCCGCGUGAGUGAUGAAGGUCUUCGGAUCGUAAAACUCUGUUAUUAGGGAAGAACAAAUGUGUAAGUAACUAAGCACGUCUUGACGGUACCUAAUCAGAAAGCCACGGCUAACUACGUG